RNAcentral lists this ribosomal RNA (1346 nucleotides) under uncultured bacterium. RNAcentral describes it as "bacterial SSU rRNA". It matches the Rfam family "Bacterial small subunit ribosomal RNA", at positions 28 to 1381 of the family's 1533-position model. The record is from RNAcentral.
GACGAACGCUGGCGGCGUGCUUAACACAUGCAAGUCGAACGGAAAGGCCCUGCUUUUGUGGGGUGCUCGAGUGGCGAACGGGUGAGUAACACGUGAGUAACCUGCCCUUGACUUUGGGAUAACUUCAGGAAACUGGGGCUAAUACCGGAUAGGAGCUCCUGCUGCAUGGUGGGGGUUGGAAAGUUUCGGCGGUUGGGGAUGGACUCGCGGCUUAUCAGCUUGUUGGUGGGGUAGUGGCUUACCAAGGCUUUGACGGGUAGCCGGCCUGAGAGGGUGACCGGCCACAUUGGGACUGAGAUACGGCCCAGACUCCUACGGGAGGCAGCAGUGGGGAAUAUUGCACAAUGGGCGGAAGCCUGAUGCAGCAACGCCGCGUGCGGGAUGACGGCCUUCGGGUUGUAAACCGCUUUCGCCUGUGACGAAGCGUGAGUGACGGUAAUGGGUAAAGAAGCACCGGCUAACUACGUGCCAGCAGCCGCGGUGAUACGUAGGGUACGAGCGUUGUCCGGAUUUAUUGGGCGUAAAGGGCUCGUAGGUGGUUGAUCGCGUCGGAAGUGUAAUCUUGGGGCUUAACCCUGAGCGUGCUUUCGAUACGGGUUGACUUGAGGAAGGUAGGGGAGAAUGGAAUUCCUGGUGGAGCGGUGGAAUGCGCAGAUAUCAGGAGGAACACCAGUGGCGAAGGCGGUUCUCUGGGCCUUUCCUGACGCUGAGGAGCGAAAGCGUGGGGAGCGAACAGGCUUAGAUACCCCGGUAGUCCACGCUGUAAACGGUGGGUACUAGGUGUGGGGUCCAUUCCACGGGUUCCGUGCCGUAGCUAACGCUUUAAGUACCCCGCCUGGGGAGUACGGCCGCAAGGCUAAAACUCAAAGGAAUUGACGGGGCCCCGCACAAGCGGCGGAGCAUGCGGAUUAAUUCGAUGCAACGCGUAGAACCUUACCUGGGUUUGACAUGGAUCGGGAGUGCUCAGAGAUGGGUGUGCCUCUUUUGGGGUCGGUUCACAGGUGGUGCAUGGCUGUCGUCAGCUCGUGUCGUGAGAUGUUGGGUUAAGUCCCGCAACGAGCGCAACCCCUGUUCACUGUUGCCAGCACGUUAUGGUGGGGACUCAGUGGAGACCGCCGGGGUCAACUCGGAGGAAGGUGGGGAUGACGUCAAGUCAUCAUGCCCCUUAUGUCCAGGGCUUCACGCAUGCUACAAUGGCUGGUACAGAGAGUGGCGAGCCUGUGAGGGUGAGCGAAUCUCGGAAAGCCGGUCUCAGUUCGGAUUGGGGUCUGCAACUCGACCUCAUGAAGUCGGAGUCGCUAGUAAUCGCAGAUCAGCAACGCUGCGGCGAAUACGUUCCCGGGGCU